AGAAAAGAAAAAAGAAAAGAAAUGGAUAGUGGAAAUGUGAUAUACUAUGGAACAUGAUUCAGCUGUAUAAAGAAAAAUGAAAAUUUCAGAGAUUAGUGUGAUCCUCACCCUCACCAAGGAAAACUUCUGUUUGCAGCAAAUGGAGACCAUCACAGAAAACCACAACCAGUCAAAGGGAAGAGCAAGGCCAGCAAUUAGGAUACCAGUGAAGUGGUCAAGGCCAUGACAAGACUCUCCUGUGAUGAUCCUGGUACAGAAGCUUGCUGGAAGAAUAUUAAAAAGAACACAUCGAACGGUUGGACUGGUGGUUGCAGUUAUUAUGGGGAUCACUGCAUUGACAGAUACGGCAGCAGCAGCUGGAGUGGCACUUCAUAAAGAAAUCCAAACCGCUGAGUUCAUUAGAGACUGGCAGAGACAUUCAGAAGAACUUUGGACUGAACAAAAAAGAAAUUAAAGAAGCUUUUGCAAAAACAGUUACCUGAUAUGACAGGAAAGGACAUUAUGGUAAGUCUUGCAGAUACCAUAGCCUCAUUAAAUCCUGUGAAUCACUUUAAUAGAUUU
Peromyscus leucopus (white-footed mouse) is the source of this 561-nucleotide long non-coding RNA. RefSeq lists it as uncharacterized. The transcript is spliced from 4 exons. NCBI's taxonomy places the organism in Eukaryota, Metazoa, Chordata, Mammalia, Rodentia, Cricetidae. The record is from RefSeq and is a predicted model, not a curated record.